This is a long non-coding RNA of Patiria miniata (bat star), 1590 nucleotides long. RefSeq lists it as uncharacterized. The transcript is spliced from 3 exons. The record is from RefSeq and is a predicted model, not a curated record. NCBI's taxonomy places the organism in Eukaryota, Metazoa, Echinodermata, Asteroidea, Valvatida, Asterinidae.
GUUGUAGUGGUAUAAUAGUCUGGUGCCUAACAACGCGCACGUACGGUCGUAUUACGUAAAAUGCAUAAGACGGCGUAAUCCAGACUUUGUGGAGUUCGCGAUCGCAGGCUAAAAAACGGACGGAACACCUAAGUUUUGAGCAUCAUGGGAGGAGGAUAUGUCGAUGAAACGCCGUUUGCCCACUACACUGGCUUCAAGAAGUAUUUCAAUUCAGACACAGUCUUCGGAAAAAGAAAUUGUGUUGUUGCUGUGUAUGGCCUGACGUUCCUCUCCAUCUGGUACGUCCGUCGUAGGAUGAAGGCCAAGAAAGCACUAACAGCUGCCAUCCCUGAGGCCGCGGUGCCUGCUUCAUAGUCUCUCCCUCUAGCUCCAAUCUUCUAGUCUCCAUAGCUGUCAACUUCAGCUCCCCAUCUUGCUUGAGCCAAUCAUCACACAUCACUCAGCUCUACCACCACUGGACACUCUUCAACCACAGGAGUCACAGUUUGGACAGUUGACAACAUAACCUUUCACUAUAAUGCAGGGCCUUCAAGAUUGCCAUUUCGCUGCUCUCCAUUUACCAAAAACUUGGAAGAAGCAGGACAGGACAAGUGUGUUGUGCCUGUUACUAUUCUCAGCAAAACCAAACAUGUUUUUUUGUUUUAAUUUAAAAUGGACUCAUAGCUAAAAUGUGCCUUUUCAUUAGUGGGAUGUUUGGUCCAUGUUUUCUCUCUUGCAAACACAAAUCUUGCAUUUUCAGAAAUAUUUCAGCACACGCGUAUGCAUUGUUAAAGUAUGGUAUCUACUGCUGUUACAGCCGUUGACAUGUACCCAAACCAUACGGAUGUCUUGCGCCUGCUUGAACAUACAACUUUUCUUUCUGCCAAAAUGCAAAAAAUUUCUCAUACAAAAACCGUGCAGUAUGUUCUCUACAUAUAUGGGAAAGAGACACAACAUGGACCAAGCACUUCUGGAAAGGCACAAUCAAAUUCUCAUAGAAUUGGAUAUGUAUGAUAUGCCCAGUUGAGACUUAUUAAACUGAGCCAUUUGAUAUUUUUCAGAUAAUCACACAUGUAACAUCUAGUGUUUUAAACUUCAAAAAUAUACGUAAUAUGCUGUGUCCUGUCAUAUAAAUCAAUUACAUAUUCACAACAUUCAUCAGUUCAUAUUGUGACUCUUAAACCCUGAACGUACAAAAUGAUUGCAUGAAUUUCCGUUUGAGAGAAGAUUGAAUGUGCUAACUUAUAAACAAAGAAGCCACAGAAAGUAACUUGACUACUAAAUUAAUAAAAAUUUAACAAUAAAUAUAGUAUUGUGUACUGUUGGCUGUUUUGAAUAAUAAAUUUGAGAGAGAUCUGUUGGACACAGCCGUCAGUUUAAAAUAAAUGAAAAAUAUUUUGACUCAAUUUCCUAGUCUGUGAAUAACACACCAAAUAUGGCUUAUACCUCACAAUGUUAGGUUUGCAAUUUUCAGUGGUAUAAAUUUUGGUUUUGAAUUCUGGGUGUUUGAAGUUUUUAAUGUAGGAUAAUACUCAAAAAGUGUGUUCUUAAUGAGUUAAAAAAAGAUAAAAAUAAAACAAUAUUUUGUUGUUUGACACAACUUAGAUUUGA